AGACAAAAAGCAUCGCCGUCACCCUGCGUGAACAGCACUGGAAGUUGAAUGCGGGAUGAGCUUUGCCUUGCGUGCGGUACCGGGUCACACCGGGCCUCCAGCCGGGCCUCCCGCAGGCAGCGCUCUGUUCUGCCCGUUCCCUGCAGUGGGGGACGGGGAGAAGCCGAAACCAGAGGCUGUGCAACCCGAUGUGUUAGAAGAAAAUCGGUAUCUCGGCCUCGGGAGGAGCUGGACUGAGUUUUGACAUGCUUAGGAAAGACGGCGCUCUGGAAUCCUGUUUUCCCAUUGAGGUCAUUGCUCGUGGGUCCGCUGCAGCACGCGGGGUUGGGGUCUCCCUCGUGCCGGUGCCUGAAGAAGCGCUGAAGGAGUGAAGGCAGAACCUGCUGAGGUUUCACCGCCUUCGCGUGGCUCCUGGGCCGUACAGGGAUCAACUUCUGGGCAACGAGAUUCGAAGGGGGCACAGAGCGCACCUUUCCAACUUGAGCAGCAAAAUCCUCGUGCUGCUCAGGUCCUGAAAUAGAGCCCCGCCGUGGAUGACUUCAAGGACAGGAGUUUGUUCCUUAUCCCUGGAUUUCUCUUAAGGGAAAUCAGGACACGGAAAUUUAAACUUUACAUUAAGAAAAGAAUCAGGAUAGGCACUUUCUGCUUUAAAAAUAAGCGUGGGCAAAAUUGCAACUCACCUGGUAAUAAUUUGAGGCUUAAAUGUUUUAAAACUUCCCCAAAAUUAAUGAGAAGAAUAUUUCAGUGGUAUUUGCUCUCUUCUGAAGGAAGCUCCCCAGGGAAGCCUCUGGCCAGGCAGAGGUUGCAUGCAGUCAGCCACGUUCUGGAAAUCAGACCUUUGCCUGAAUGUGCAGAGGGAGUGUUUCUGUAAUUUCUGUUUGUUCUGUCCAUUUACUUCAAAGCUUACGUUAAAAGCUGAAAAGCCACCCAGGGACUGAAAAAAAAACAUGAAUGAUUUUUUAAAUUGAUGAAUAAAUUUAUUUAAAUCAUGAAUGUCUUAAUUAAUUUAUGGAGCGAGACCCAAGUGAACCAGAUCUAAAGUCCUGGAGGGCUCUGUGACCAGGCAGCCAGCUCAGCUCAGUGACUAUGCGGGGUACUCCCUUCUCUUAAUAAACCAGGUAGCUUUGCUUAAAGUUUUUUGAUAUGCUCAUCUGCUUUUCCCAUGUUUCUUAUGCAAAGCUCCAUUAAAAUAUCCACUUCACAUUUCAAGAUGCUUUGUGAACAUUUGUGUUGCAUUCCUGCUUCUAUCAUAAUACAUUUUGGCUUCAAGCAUAUGUAAGGACUGAUAAUAACAAAGUAAAUGAGAAAUACAUCACCCUUCAGUUUAACAUAAUGAAACUGAACAGUUGAGCAUGAAAAAAUGUAUAGGAAACUCUUUAAUUGGCCUGUCUCUAGACAGCAGAUUCCUACCAACAAGCACGGAAUAUCAGUUUUCUUGAAGAAAAACUGAAUGAUAUGAAGGCCAGCUGAGAUCAAAGCCAGGUAAUUAAAGGAAGGUUGCCUGUGCUUCGUUGCUCUUUCAUUCUGUUUUUGUGGCCUCCAAGUACAGUGUCUGCAUGCCACACUUUAUUAAGCAGUAUGAGGCACCUAGGAUUUUAAGCAUCACUUUAAAGCACUCAAUACCUUAUUGAUGCUUUCCAAGACAUAACAGUAAUAGCAAUUUCAAAUAUAUGAGUUAAAUGCGAGCGAUGCGCUUCCAUCAGGUCAAACCCAGCAGUUGUGAAAGUCUGUUUGUGUUGUUGUAGUGGGAUAUACAUGAAAGUGUAUUUGUAUAAAAGAGGCAGUGAAAAUGCAGUCCCCGUGUUGAAAAGCACAAAUGCUGUCCUCUCUUCAAGACACUCACAGGUCUGUGAUGUACAAUGAAAUACAAAGAUUGCUGUGCAGGAAAGCAGCUUAGGACGUACCAAGCAUUUGGAGAGUUUGCUUUCCAAAGUUUGUUUCAAUUUUCAUGAGUGACAGAUGUUUUGUCAUGGAAUUUUUCAAGCAAAUGAUGGGAACUGUCAUGGCACUCAGGCUGACAUGGUGUUGGAGGAAGGAUUUUCUUCAAAUGUGACCUUUACUGAGGGUUAGACAUUGUUUGUCACUUAAUAACUUCAGAAUUAAAGAACACAUCAAGC
Molecule: long non-coding RNA, 2117 nt
Organism: Gallus gallus (chicken)
Lineage: Eukaryota; Metazoa; Chordata; Aves; Galliformes; Phasianidae
Source: Ensembl